Molecule: ribosomal RNA, 504 nt
Filed under: uncultured Gigaspora
Lineage: Eukaryota; Fungi; Glomeromycota; Glomeromycetes; Diversisporales; Gigasporaceae
Description: SSU rRNA
Rfam family: Eukaryotic small subunit ribosomal RNA
Source: RNAcentral
AGCAGCCGCGGUAAUUCCAGCUCCAAUAGCGUAUAUUAAAGUUGUUGCAGUUAAAAAGCUCGUAGUUGAAUUUCGGGGUUCUACCGUUGGUCGGGCAAUAGUCUGUACUGGCGUGUAGAAUUUCUACCUUCUGGGGAACUAUCAUGUUAUUUAUUUAGCGUGGUAGGAAACCAGGACCUUUACCUUGAAAAAAUUAGAGUGUUCAAAGCAGGCUUACGUCUGAAUACAUUAGCAUGGAAUAAUAAAAUAGGGCGGUGGUCCUGUUUUGUUGGUUUCUGAAUCACCGUAAUGAUUAAUAGGGAUAGUUGGGGGCAUUAGUAUUCAAUUGUCAGAGGUGAAAUUCUUGGAUUUAUUGAAGACUAACUUCUGCGAAAGCAUUUGCCAAGUAUGUUUUCAUUAAUCAAGAACCGAAAGUUAGGGGAUCGAAGACGAUCAGAUACCGUCGUAGUCUUAACCAUAAACUAUGCCGACUAGGGAUCGGACGAUGUUAAUUUUUUUGACUCG